RNAcentral lists this ribosomal RNA (397 nucleotides) under uncultured bacterium. RNAcentral describes it as "partial 16S ribosomal RNA". It matches the Rfam family "Bacterial small subunit ribosomal RNA", at positions 523 to 918 of the family's 1533-position model. The record is from RNAcentral.
CUACGUAGGGGGCGAGCGUUGUCCGGAAUGAUUGGGCGUAAAGGGCGCGUAGGCGGCCCGGUAAGUCUGGAGUGAAAGUCCUGUUUUUAAGAUGGGAAUUGCUUUGGAUACUGUCGGGCUUGAGUGCAGGAGAGGUAAGUGGAAUUCCCAGUGUAGCGGUGAAAUGCGUAGAGAUUGGGAGGAACACCAGUGGCGAAGGCGACUUACUGGACUGUAACUGACGCUGAGGCGCGAAAGUGUGGGGAGCAAACAGGAUUAGAUGCCCUGGUAGUCCACACUGUAAACGAUGAAUGCUAGGUGUAGGGGGUAUCGACCCCUUCUGUGCCGCAGUCAACACAAUAAGCAUUCCGCCUGGGGAGUACGGCCGCAAGGUUGAAACUCAAAGGAAUUGACGGGG